GGGUUGUGAGGUUAAGCGACUAAGCGUACACGGUGGAUGCCCUGGCAGUCAGAGGCGAUGAAGGACGUGCUAAUCUGCGAUAAGCGUCGGUAAGGUGAUAUGAACCGUUAUAACCGGCGAUUUCCGAAUGGGGAAACCCAGUGCAAUUCGUUGCACUAUCGUUAAGUGAAUACAUAGCUUAACGAAGCGAACCGGGGGAACUGAAACAUCUAAGUACCCCGAGGAAAAGAAAUCAACCGAGAUUCCCCCAGUAGCGGCGAGCGAACGGGGAGCAGCCCAGAGUCUGAAUCAGCGCGUGUGUUAGUGGAACGGUCUGGAAAGUCCGGCGGUACAGGGUGAUAGCCCCGUACACUAAAAUGCACACGUUGUGAACUCGAAGAGUAGGGCGGGACACGUGGUAUCCUGUCUGAAUAUGGGGGGACCAUCCUCCAAGGCUAAAUACUCCUGACUGACCGAUAGUGAACCA
RNAcentral lists this ribosomal RNA (466 nucleotides) under Klebsiella ornithinolytica. RNAcentral describes it as "Raoultella ornithinolytica partial 23S ribosomal RNA". It matches the Rfam family "Bacterial large subunit ribosomal RNA", at positions 1 to 497 of the family's 2925-position model. Lineage: Bacteria; Pseudomonadati; Pseudomonadota; Gammaproteobacteria; Enterobacterales; Enterobacteriaceae. The record is from RNAcentral.